RNAcentral lists this RNase P RNA (328 nucleotides) under bovine gut metagenome. Its description in RNAcentral is "Bacterial RNase P class A". It matches the Rfam family "Bacterial RNase P class A". Rfam says of the family: Ribonuclease P (RNase P) is a ubiquitous endoribonuclease, found in archaea, bacteria and eukarya as well as chloroplasts and mitochondria. Its best characterised activity is the generation of mature 5'-ends of tRNAs by cleaving the 5'-leader elements of precursor-tRNAs. The record is from RNAcentral.
GAGUCGGUCAGACGGUUGCGGGCAGAAAUGCCCGAGGAAAGUCCGAGCCCCACAGGGCAGAAUAGCGGCUAACGGCCGCCGAGGGUGACCUUAGGGAAAGUGCAACAGAGAUAUACCGCCGCAUUUUUGCGGUAAGGGUGGAAAGGCGAGGUAAGAGCUCACCGGUCUUACGGGAACGGCAAGACCCUGUAAACCCUAUUCGGAGCAACGCUGACUGUAACGAUACACCUGCCCGGCGUGUUACGAAAAGCGGCUUGAGCGCCGGGAGCAAUCCCGCGUCGAGAUAGAUAACCGUCCGCGACAGAACUCGGCUUACCGACCGACUCUU